CCAUCGGCUGUGGUGAGGACUGCAGGGCCUGCUCCCUUCCAGGGCCCUUUCCCCUGGGCCAGAUGGAAAGGGCCCUGGAAGGGAGCAGGCCCUGCAGUCCUCACCACAGCCGAUGG
This is a non-coding RNA of Podarcis lilfordi (Lilford's wall lizard), 116 nucleotides long. The record is from the annotation of a GenBank genome assembly. Lineage: Eukaryota; Metazoa; Chordata; Lepidosauria; Squamata; Lacertidae.